This 72-nucleotide transfer RNA is filed under the name Agromyces sp. NBRC 114283. Its description in RNAcentral is "tRNA-Sec". Lineage: Bacteria; Bacillati; Actinomycetota; Actinomycetes; Micrococcales; Microbacteriaceae. The record is from RNAcentral.
CGCGGGGUUGCUGUGCGGGACGCCCGCGGCCUUCAGGGCCGUGAUCGCGGCGUUCUGCUCGCUCUUCGCAAC